This 298-nucleotide unclassified non-coding RNA is filed under the name Hevea brasiliensis (rubber tree). The record is from RNAcentral. Lineage: Eukaryota; Viridiplantae; Streptophyta; Magnoliopsida; Malpighiales; Euphorbiaceae.
AUUGAAGAUCAUCCGUCCAAUUUAAGAGAAAGAUUCCGUUAACUAAAGGUGAAAAUACUAAAAUACCCUUUACUUAAUUAGGGUUAAAUACUGGAGAAACAAACCAAAUCCCCUCUAUCCCUUUUUAUCCUACAAUAAAAAUUAAGAAGCAAUUUGUAAGAAAUUACAUAAUCUGAAUAAAUUAAUAACAAUUCUAAUAAUUUUAACAAUCACCUAAUAAUUUUAACGAAAGUGAAAGUUAAGGGUUAAAUAGUUUAAUUUUUAAAAUAAGGGAUUAAAUCGUAGUAGUGAGUAAAAU